Molecule: non-coding RNA, 308 nt
Organism: Leptonychotes weddellii (Weddell seal)
Lineage: Eukaryota; Metazoa; Chordata; Mammalia; Carnivora; Phocidae
Source: RefSeq, a predicted model, not a curated record
CCAGAGCUGAGGGCUCAGAGCGGCGGCUGAAAUAAUUCACCCCCCCGCGCCUUCCCCCCCUGCCCCAUGUUGAAAAAGGUCAGCGAUUCAUUUGAAGUUUCAUCACUGCACAUAAGCAGGCGAACACCAUUUCAUUUGCUGCCUUUGUGUGGGCCAGAGGCCCAGCCUGUCGUCUCCUUCCCGGCCUGGGAAUCGACAGCGAGGCCAUCACCCCCUGCAGCCCACCUGCUCUGGAGAGGACUUACAGCAGCAUGUGCAGAUGCUUAUAAGACAGGAAGAUGCCACAGAAGUGGUGGCCCCAGGCAAGG